AACUGAACCAUCUAAGUACCCGCAGGAAAAGAAAUCAAAAGAGAUUCCCUUAGUAGUGGCGAACGAACGGGGAAGAGCCUAAACCGUUAAUGUGUAAGUGUCGAUACGUUGCAUUGGCGGGGUUGUGAGGAUAUAUCUUAGUACAGAUCGACCUGUGCUGCGCAGUUACAAAGGGUUAUGGGAGUAGAAUUGUCUGGAAAGUCAAGCCAAAGCAGGUGAAAGCCCAGUAUACGAACUAUAAUCUCUGCGUGAUAUGUUACUCGAGUACAGCGGGACACGCGAAAUCCUGUUGGAAUCAGGGGGGACCACCCUCCAAGGCUAAAUACUUCAUAGCUACCGAUAGCGCAUAGUACCGUGAGGGAAAGGUGAAAAGGACCCCGGGAGGGGAGUGAAAUAGAACCUGAAACCGUAGACUUACAAGCAGUCAGAGCUGGUGUGUAUUUUAUAUAUGCUGGUGAUGGCGUGCCUUUUGUAGAAUGAGCCUGCGAGUUACCGUAUGUAGCGAGGUUAAGGGAUAGGAGUCCUGGAGCCGUAGGGAAACCGAGUCUGAAAUGGGCGUUUAGUUACAUGUGGUAGACCCGAAACCAAGUGAUCUAUCCAUGUCCAGGUUGAAACCUGAGUAAAAUCAGGUGGAGGACCGAACCUAAAUCCGCUGAAAAGGGUUGGGAUGAGGUGUGGAUUGGAGUGAAAGGCUAAACAAACUUGGAGAUAGCUGGCACUCCCCGAAAUAGCUUUAGGGCUAGCCUUACGGGAAUUGUCGCGGAGGUAGAGCACUGAAUGGAUGCGGGCCCUUCACCGGGUACCAAGUUCAACCAAACUCCGAAUGCCGCCGACAUAAUCUGUUGGAGUCAGACUACGGCUGAUAAGGGCCGUGGUCGAGAGGGAAAGAGCCCAGACCGUCAGCUAAGGUCCCCAAGAUACGCCAAGUGGGAAAGGAAGUUCGAUUGCGAAGACAGCCAGGAGGUUGGCUUAGAAGCAGCCACUCCUUAAAAGAGUGCGUAAUAGCUCACUGGUCGAGUAGUCGAGCGCCGAUAAUGUAACGGGGCUAAGCGUAUCACCGAAGCUACGGCAUAGUGCAUUUAUUUGUACUGUGGGUAGGGGAGCAUUCCGUGUACGGCUGAAGGUUAACUGAGAGGUUAGCUGGACGGGACGGAAGAGAGAAUGCAGGCAUGAGUAACGAAAAGACGGGUGAAAUUCCCGUCCGCCGAAAGCCUAAGGUUUCCAGGGUAAAGGUCAUCUGCCCAAGGGUUAGUCGGCCCCUAAGACGAGGCUGAAGAGCGUAGUCGAUGGGAAACGGGUUAAUAUUCCCGUACCUCUUUGUGUUUCGAAGGAAUGAAGCAUAGGGUGAAGCGCGUCCGGGCGAUGGUAGUCCCGGUCUAAGCGUUAAGCUGUUGAAGCUACUAGGCAAAUCCGGUAGCUGAGGUGAGACGUGAAAGCGAGUGAUGCUACGGCAAAGCGAAGCGCGUGUAGUCGUCGUGCCAAGAAAUAGUUUCUAAGGUAAGACACAGAGGGACCGUACCGUAAACCGACACAGGUAGGCGAGCUGAAUAUGCUAAGGCGCUCGGAAGAAUUCGCGUUAAGGAACUCGGCAAAUUGCAUACGUAACUUCGGGAUAAGUAUGGCCAUUGGGGGAUUAUAUUUAUAUAGUUUCUUGGUGGUUGCAGUGAAAUGGCCCAAGCGACUGUUUACCAAAAACACAAGUCUAUGCGAACCAGCAAUGGGAAGUAUAUGGACUGACACCUGCCCGGUGCUGGAAGGUUAAGAGGAGCUGUUAGCUUUUAUUAGCGAAGCAGUGAAUUGAAGCCCCAGUAAACGGCGGCCGUAACUAUAACGGUCCUAAGGUAGCGAAAUUCCUUGUCGGGUAAGUUCCGACCCGCACGAAAGGUGUAACGAUUUGG
RNAcentral lists this ribosomal RNA (1898 nucleotides) under anaerobic digester metagenome. RNAcentral's name for it is "bacterial LSU rRNA". It matches the Rfam family "Bacterial large subunit ribosomal RNA", at positions 191 to 2012 of the family's 2925-position model. The record is from RNAcentral.